This 497-nucleotide ribosomal RNA is filed under the name uncultured bacterium. RNAcentral describes it as "partial 16S ribosomal RNA". It matches the Rfam family "Bacterial small subunit ribosomal RNA", at positions 28 to 507 of the family's 1533-position model. The record is from RNAcentral.
GAUGAACGCUGGCGGCGUGCCUAAUACAUGCAAGUCGAGCGAACAGACGAGGAGCUUGCUCCUCUGACGUUAGCGGCGGACGGGUGAGUAACACGUGGAUAACCUACCUAUAAGACUGGGAUAACUUCGGGAAACCGGAGCUAAUACCGGAUAAUAUAGUGAACCGCAUGGUUCAAUAGUGAAAGACGGUUUUGCUGUCACUUAUAGAUGGAUCCGCGCCGCAUUAGCUAGUUGGUAAGGUAACGGCUUACCAAGGCAACGAUGCGUAGCCGACCUGAGAGGGUGAUCGGCCACACUGGAACUGAGACACGGUCCAGACUCCUACGGGAGGCAGCAGUAGGGAAUCUUCCGCAAUGGGCGAAAGCCUGACGGAGCAACGCCGCGUGAGUGAUGAAGGUCUUCGGAUCGUAAAACUCUGUUAUUAGGGAAGAACAAAUGUGUAAGUAACUAUGCACGUCUUGACGGUACCUAAUCAGAAAGCCACGGCUAACUACGUG